UCUCCUUUUUCUGAGAAACUUCAAAGUUUAAUCUUCCUUUUAGAAACUAUUGGGACGACUGCCAACAGCUCCUGCAGGCCCCUUUUCCUUAUGAGGAGAGGGAAAGGAUUCUGAGGGAAGCUAGGAAAUCGGUGCCUGUGAGAACAGGUGGCCCAGCACUAGUCUGGCGAUCACUGAGGCUGUUUCCCCAUCAUUCCACCCUGACUGGAACCCCAACACUGAUGGAGGCUAGAACAGGGCACCAGACCUCAUUACAGAUGGUUGUGAGCCACCAUGUGGUUGUCGGGAAUUGAACUCAGGACUUUUGGAAGAACAGGCAAUGCUCUUAACCACUGAGCCAUCUCUCCAGCCCCCUCUGUUUGCCUUUGAAUGGACUGACCUGGAGACUUGUUUCAAUGGACACUUGACUUGGACUCACUUGCACCAAAGAUUCAGAACUCUCCCAGUCUUUCUAACGAAGCUUUAAAUGCAGAUUUGUGUGAGUACUGCCUUACUUUCUCCCAGGUUGUGCUUCUGCAAUAUGUGGGUAACUUAUUGACUGUGGCAUGAAUGAGAUGGACCACGAAGAAGCUACAGAGGGACUGUCAAGAACUCUGGAGAUGCUGGGAUGUUGUGUCUGCAAAGAAGGCACAACUCUGCACUCAGAAAGCUUUAUACCUGGGGUUUGACCUCCAAGAAGGAAAGAGCUCUCUGUCCAUGCCAAAGACGCUACUUUGGGUAUAGCAAUGCCAAUGACAAAGAGACAAAUAAGAGAGCUCCAGGGAACGGCAGGGCACCGCAGACUCUGGAUUGGCUGAAAUUGUCAAACCUCUGUAUGAGGUGGCAAGUGCUGGAGGGUAAGUCCCCAUGAACCGAGUCAGAAGAUAAAGCUCUGCUAUUGACACCAGCACCCGCAUUGGCCUUGCCUGGUGUUGCCAAGCCUUUCUACCUAUCUGUAGAUGAAAAGAAGACCAGGGCUAAGGUGGUAUUAACCCAGAAACUUGGACCUUGACGUUGUCUUGUGGUCUACUUACCAAAGAAAUUAGAUCCAGUGGUUGGUGAGUCAGCUUGCUUGAGAAUUAUUGCAGCCACUGCCCUUCUAACUACAGAUGCUGGCAAACUGACUCUCGAACAGAAUUUGACUAUUACCACCCCCACGUAAUACA
Non-coding RNA from Myodes glareolus (Bank vole), 1145 nucleotides. The record is from RefSeq and is a predicted model, not a curated record. NCBI's taxonomy places the organism in Eukaryota, Metazoa, Chordata, Mammalia, Rodentia, Cricetidae.